AGAGUUUGAUUAUGGCUCAGGACGAACGCUGGCGGCGUGCUUAACACAUGCAAGUCGAGCGAUGAAGUUCCUUCGGGAAUGGAUUAGCGGCGGACGGGUGAGUAACACGUGGGUAACCUGCCUCAUAGAGGGGAAUAGCCUUUCGAAAGGAAGAUUAAUACCGCAUAAGAUUGUAGUAUCGCAUGAUACAGCAAUUAAAGGAGUAAUCCACUAUGAGAUGGACCCGCGUCGCAUUAGCUAGUUGGUGAGGUAACGGCUCACCAAGGCGACGAUGCGUAGCCGACCUGAGAGGGUGAUCGGCCACAUUGGGACUGAGACACGGCCCAGACUCCUACGGGAGGCAGCAGUGGGGAAUAUUGCACAAUGGGGGAAACCCUGAUGCAGCCAACGCCGCGUGAGUGAUGACGGUCUUCGGAUUGUAAAACUCUGUCUUCAGGGACGAUAAUGACGGUACCUGAGGAGGAAGCCACGGCUAACUACGUGCCAGCCGCAGC
This 494-nucleotide ribosomal RNA is filed under the name uncultured bacterium. Its description in RNAcentral is "bacterial SSU rRNA". It matches the Rfam family "Bacterial small subunit ribosomal RNA", at positions 8 to 518 of the family's 1533-position model. The record is from RNAcentral.